UACAGAGGUCUCAAGCGUUGCUCGGAUUCAUUGGGCGUAAAGGGUGCGUAGGCGGCGCGGUAAGUCGGGUGUGAAAUCUUGGAGCUUAACUCCGAAACUGCAUUCGAUACUGCCGUGCUUGAGGACUGGAGAGGAGACUGGAAUUUACGGUGUAGCGGUGAAAUGCGUAGAUAUCGUAAGGAAGACCAGUGGCGAAGGCGGGUCUCUGGACAGUUCCUGACGCUGAGGCACGAAGGCCAGGGCAGCAAACGGG
This 253-nucleotide ribosomal RNA is filed under the name uncultured bacterium. Its description in RNAcentral is "partial 16S ribosomal RNA". It matches the Rfam family "Bacterial small subunit ribosomal RNA", at positions 524 to 776 of the family's 1533-position model. The record is from RNAcentral.